This 1579-nucleotide long non-coding RNA is filed under the name Homo sapiens (human). RNAcentral's name for it is "PREDICTED lncRNA (TCONS_00163783)". The record is from RNAcentral. Lineage: Eukaryota; Metazoa; Chordata; Mammalia; Primates; Hominidae.
GGCACUUGCAACUUUAUUGCGCCAGCAAGAACAUGCAUACAGCCCAGUCUAACGUACAGGAUCAAAAAGAGACCUUAUUUCGGCUGGCAAUUACCUUACCCGCUUGUUCAUUAUCUGACUCCUGCACUCCUCCCAAGUGUUCAAUGUUAACCAGAUGGCAAAGUUAACCAGACAGAGGAAAUCCACAUAAUUACUCUAGAUGAAGCCCCCUAACUGCGGAUUAGAAGGAAAAGAGAUGAAGGGUGCUGCACUAAUAAUAACAACCAUUUUCAACCAAGGCAGGAUUCUGGGCCUAGAAUCUUCAGUGACAAAUUACCAGGAGAGGAGGAGGGAAAUGAAGAGCUGGAGGCCUAGGGAGAUGGUGUGAGGAGAGGAGACUGUGCCUUUCCACUUCUUAAUAAUUAAUGUUCUCCUGCUGCUCUGAGUCUGCAUCACCAGUGAUUCAGUUUGAGUCAGACAUCCAACAACAACUGAGCAAAAGAAUCAUCUCAGAUCCAAGCAAUGGUGACGCGCAGAUAGAAGAGACUGAGGCCAACGACCAAAGCAAAGGACAGCAGAACUGACUGACACAGCUCAGAAAAUAUCCAAAGCUCUGUAUGCUCUGGAAAGGAAGACAAGAAAUGCUAAAGACUCUGGAUAUUGCUCUGUUUCUAUAAGGUCCCACCCAUAUACCAUCUCUUCUUUUGGAUUUCCUUUGGCAGUAACCUGAAGUUAUAUAAGUGGCAUGUUCCCAAGUACAAAGGGAGCCCUUCUAUUGCUUCUGCUUACAAAGAGGUGUCAACCUAAGAAAAAGCCAGAACAAGCCAAAGUUCAGGGAAGUAUCACUGCUGACUAAUAUGUUCAGCAGUCACUGAGUUGAGAUGAGGAGUGCUACUUUGGAACUUCCCUGCAUUCCAAAGUUCACUAAUGCAAUCCACUUUAACAUCUUUCUCUUUGUUAUUCAGGGUUCCCUUGUAUGGAAGUUCUCAGGAGAACAACACUCUCAGAGUCCCACUGUCUCAAAGAAUUCUUAAUGGACAGGUAUUUUUAAAGAAGUCAGGGUUAUCCACAGCUAUGUACAUAUAAUACCAAAUCAGAUCAUUUAUUCUGUACCUGAGGCAAAAAAGCUUCUGAUUCCUGAAUGGAUUUCUUCACUGGUUCUUCUGGGGGAUGAGAGAGAGAAACCAUUUACAAAGCUGAAGGAGAGCUAAGUCCACCCCUACACUGGCUGAGUUUCUUUGUAUAACAACUGUUCUCCCUUCCUAUUUUCUUCAAUUAUCUCUUCUUUCCCCAGCUAUACUUGGCCCCAAGGUUUCAACCUCACACUGAAGAAAGUGACAUAAGAAAACACAAGUCCCAGUGCUAUCAGGGGCUAUCUGGAAAAGCUGCUUAAACAGCAAGUGAAAGAAGGCUCUCCCCUACCCCGUUCUAGACUCACCCUGAAGUUAUUUGAAGGAUCCUUGAGACUCUUUUGGAUUGCUGCUUGGAGAACAUUCCUGUAACUUGUCCCUGCUCCUUGAACUAUAAAAGCAGAAGGGAGGUACUGAGUUAAAACUUACAAAUUAUUAUCAAAUAAAUCUUCAAUAGUGGUUCAGUCCAA